GAAAUGCGAUAAGUAAUGUGAAUUGCAGAAUUCAGUGAAUCAUCGAAUCUUUGAACGCACCUUGCGCUCCUUGGUAUUCCUUGGAGCAUGCCUGUUUGAGUAUCAUGAAAUCUUCAAAGUAAAUCUUUUGUUAACUCAGUUGGUUUCUACUUUGGUAUUGGAGGUCUUUGCAGCUUCACACCUGCUCCUCUUUGUUCAUUAGCUGGAUCUCAGGGUUAUGCUUGGUUCCACUCGGCGUGAUAAGUUAUCUAUCGCUGAGGACACUGUAAAAGGUGGCCAAGGUAAAUGCAGAUGAACCGCUUCUAAUAGUCCAUUGACUUGGACAAUACUUUUAUGAUCUGAUCUCAAAUCAGGUAGGACUACCCGCUGAACUUAAGC
Molecule: unclassified non-coding RNA, 378 nt
Filed under: plant metagenome
Description: partial contains 5.8S ribosomal RNA, internal transcribed spacer 2, and large subunit ribosomal RNA
Rfam family: 5.8S ribosomal RNA (bases 1-105)
Source: RNAcentral